RNAcentral lists this long non-coding RNA (454 nucleotides) under Elaeis guineensis (African oil palm). RNAcentral describes it as "long non-coding RNA (EGUI_LNC010751)". The record is from RNAcentral. Lineage: Eukaryota; Viridiplantae; Streptophyta; Magnoliopsida; Arecales; Arecaceae.
ACCUGCACUUCGCUGAUCCGGCUACUAUGACUCAAUCCGACUCCGACUAACGGAUCCUGCUCUGAGCGACCUUCCAUCAAUUAAUAUUGAUGAGAUAUGGCAGACUAGAGGUAUGACCGACCAACGAACUUAACUAAAUUAGUACUUUACCGACUCGAUUCGAUACACGGUCUACGGAUGCCCCCAAGUUAGAUGAUGGCAUUCGGCACGUGACUGACUACAUAUUCAGUGCCCUACCAACUGACUUGAUGGACGAUUGAGAAGCACCACUCAUUCGAAAUUAUUCGGCCUGCUAUCGAAUCCAUAGGUGUGGGUGUCAGUCGAGCAACUGAAUAUCAAGCAUGGCUACCAUACUAUCUCAUUGGAUCACAUCAAGUCCUGUCGCCCAGGAGCCAUAUUUUUCACCGCCAGCUGUGUGCUAUGACAAGAAACCACGAAGUCAUUAAUUACGCCC